CCCUCCUUGUUUAUCCCGCCUAUAUACCGCCGUCGUCAGCUUACCCCAUGAAGGAUUCAUAGUAAGCAAAACAAGUACAACUUAAAACGCAAGGUCGAGGUGUAGCGCAUGAGAGGGGAAGAAAUGGGCUACAUUCCCUAAAUAAGGGCACACGGAAAAUACAAUGAAAUGCGUAUUGGAAGGAGGAUUUAGCAGUAAGCAGAAAAUAGAGAGUUCUACUGAAACUGGCCCUGAAGCGCGCACACACCGCCCGUCACUCUCCCCAAACAUAUAAAUUACAUAAUUAAUAAGCCAAACAAACAAAGGGGAGGCAAGUCGUAACAUGGUAAGUGUACCGGAAGGUGCACUUGGUCAAC
RNAcentral lists this ribosomal RNA (356 nucleotides) under Tylosurus acus (Agujon needlefish). Its description in RNAcentral is "partial 12S ribosomal RNA". It matches the Rfam family "Bacterial small subunit ribosomal RNA", at positions 1020 to 1526 of the family's 1533-position model. The record is from RNAcentral. Lineage: Eukaryota; Metazoa; Chordata; Actinopteri; Beloniformes; Belonidae.